RNAcentral lists this ribosomal RNA (465 nucleotides) under uncultured bacterium. RNAcentral describes it as "partial 16S ribosomal RNA". It matches the Rfam family "Bacterial small subunit ribosomal RNA", at positions 28 to 507 of the family's 1533-position model. The record is from RNAcentral.
GACGAACGCUGGCGGCGUGCUUAACACAUGCAAGUUGAACGGAAAGGCCCCUUUGGGGGUACUCGAGUGGCGAACGGGUGAGUAACACGUGAGUAACCUGCCCUUGACUUCGGGAUAACUUCAGGAAACUGGGGCUAAUACCGGAUAGGAAUCCUUGCUGCAUGGUGGGGGUUGGAAAGCUUCGGCGGUUUUGGAUGGACUCGCGGCUUAUCAGCUUGUUGGUGGGGUAGUGGCUUACCAAGGCUUUGACGGGUAGCCGGCCUGAGAGGGCGACCGGCCACAUUGGGACUGAGAUACGGCCCAGACUCCUACGGGAGGCAGCAGUGGGGAAUAUUGCACAAUGGGCGGAAGCCUGAUGCAGCAACGCCGCGUGCGGGAUGACGGCCUUCGGGCUGUAAACCGCUUUCAGCAGGGGCGAAGCUUGUGGUGACGGUACCUGCAGAAGAAGCACCGGCUAACUACGUG